CUGGCUGGAGCAGCGAAGUGCCAGGGACCCACCGCCAUUAGGUUCCGGAGGCUCUGCGGCUGGGGGGAAGAUGGCGGUCGCGGGAUUUCACGUCCUGCCCCGCCAACUCCCAUUCUUUGCCCGUCUUUGCCCUCCCAGCUCCUGCUUCUCGACGCAGGCUCUUGCUGAUAACCCUUAAUGUGGUGUGGAGACAAACAUCAGUCUGUAUUAGAUUAAACCAAGAAAUUGCUGCAUUCAAGAAUUUUUGACCUACAAAAUGGCAAUUUCACACGACUCUACUUAAUAGAAAAAGAAGCAGAGGGAGUUUAAUAUGGAGAACUGAUCGCACAGGUGUUGAGAGGGCUGAAGGAACAAAAAGCGAUCAUCGAGGUCAUCAACGUAAUUACCGCUGGAAGUAGCAACUGCUCAGGGAUGAGGAAGCAAAGGGAAGCAGUCACACAUGAAAUAACUUACCCUGAAUGAAGAAGAGGAGGCUUCAGAUGUGAUGCUAAUUACCCUGACCUUCCAUGUUUGUAAGAUUUGUCAUCCAAUCACGAGGCGCAAGUGUUUUUCCUACUGCCCAGAUGCAAGGCCUAUGUGGCAAAGGAUUUGACAGUUGAAGAAGAGCUCGGGUUUGAAGUAGACAUCCACAUGUCCUUGAGGCAAUUAUGUCCAAUCCUCUGUGAAAGAA
Long non-coding RNA from Zalophus californianus (California sea lion), 670 nucleotides. RefSeq lists it as uncharacterized. The record is from RefSeq and is a predicted model, not a curated record. The transcript is spliced from 4 exons. Lineage: Eukaryota; Metazoa; Chordata; Mammalia; Carnivora; Otariidae.